GGACAAACAAAAGCUUGAGUCUGGAUAAACUCCCAGAGGCACACGUUCUUAUUUAUCUGAACCUUCUGGGCCUGCAAUAUUGGACUGGAAAACUCACUGGGCAGUAGGCUUGCUGGUCAUUCUCAUUUUUGGUCAGCAGCAUUUGUGAAACAGGACCAGAAACACCACAUCACUGCUGCCUGUCAACAUUCCAAAUGAGAAUCCACAUACAGGAGUGACACCGGCGCACAGAAUAGCUAUUAUUGAAGUUCCCUUGGAAAGCUUCUAAACCUCCUCAAGUGUACAUCACCACACAGGAUUCACCAUCGCACAGAACCCUUUACAACUGGCUUCAGGUAUUCUGAGGAGAAGGAUUUUGCCAAGAGGAAUAAGCAUGGAACUGGGCAUCAGGAACUCCUGAACAGAGUCCUGAUAGUCCCACUGACUCACUGUGUGGCCUUGAGCAAGCUGGGCACCCUCUCCCAUUGCUUCAGUUUCCACCUCUGUAAAGUGGGGAUAAUCCCACUAAUUGACCUACCUCACAGGAGUGCCUUAGUGGCGGAUUAAUGUUACCACUGCACUUUGGAAAUGUAACCCACAGUAUAAACACUAAAUAUGUUCAUCAUUUUUUAGUGUAGCAAAUCCUGCACUCUCCAGACCAGUUGCUUCCUUCCAACUUGAAAGGUUUUCAUGCACCAUUAUAUAAACAUUUCCAGCUAUUUAAUGCACCUCUGACACAAGCUGUUUCUGUUACAUAUCCACAACUUCCUUUCUGCAAACUCCUGCAUGGAAGCAGCUUUCUGACCUCUGAGCAUCAAGGAUUUCAUGGUCUCUUGAAACCAAGGUGGUGAUUUCAUCAUACUCUCAUUUUGCUGCACUCCAACUACAUCUAACAUUUCUGGAAAUCUGAUCUGCCACUCAGGCCAAUUUGUAUGGCUUUUUUCCCCCUACUUUCAACUUUAAAGCUGCACAUAUGUUUAAUAUAUCCAUUGCAUCUUUUUCCUGGGCUUCAUACCUCUCACCAUUAUCUUUUGGCCUGCAGAUAUAGAGUAUACAAUGCUAAU
Mauremys mutica (yellowpond turtle) is the source of this 1043-nucleotide long non-coding RNA. RefSeq lists it as uncharacterized. The transcript is spliced from 3 exons. NCBI's taxonomy places the organism in Eukaryota, Metazoa, Chordata, Testudines, Geoemydidae. The record is from RefSeq and is a predicted model, not a curated record.